This is a non-coding RNA of Morus notabilis, 153 nucleotides long. Lineage: Eukaryota; Viridiplantae; Streptophyta; Magnoliopsida; Rosales; Moraceae. The record is from Rfam.
AAGCGAAGAUCCCAGCGGAGGGGUAAAGGACUCUGGAAUUGAGGCCUCUCUAACGUCUAAGCAAUACAAAUCUUCGCAGAAUAAUUAGCCAAAUCGUAGGAUGUCUAGAAUUUCUCUGUUUCUGGAACGUCUGGAACCCUUGGCUACAUCUCA